This is a long non-coding RNA of Pararge aegeria (speckled wood butterfly), 557 nucleotides long. RefSeq lists it as uncharacterized. The transcript has 2 exons. The record is from RefSeq and is a predicted model, not a curated record. Lineage: Eukaryota; Metazoa; Arthropoda; Insecta; Lepidoptera; Nymphalidae.
UGAGAAAGUUUGUAGACUGUAUCGUGGCAGCACGCUGACUCGUUUACAUAUUGUUUUAUGUAAAGGUGGACUUAUCGAAAUGUUUUAAUGUGUUUGAAUUUAAUGAAAACAGGUAAUACUAUAUGUAUAAUAUGAUACAGUACUCGAAGAACGGCUCAACACUUAUCACUGCUUUCAAGAACCAUAUAUAGGCAGUCAUUUGUUAUCCACGUCAUACAUUAGAAAGCAUACAGUACAUUGACGAUCGAAUUUUCGUCUAGAUUAAUAGCUUAUAUUAUACCUACACGUUUGUCAUUAAAACAGUGAGCAGUUACUUGCAUUAGUUAAGUAUUAAAAAAAAUUGCAAGAUGGACGAAUUGUGGAAAGCUAUAAGGGAAUCGCUAAGAAAUCCUGAUUUAACCACCUGCAAUUUAGGUACUGCAAGGGUAUAUGAUCCAGCAACGAACUUACUACCGGAAACGUCACACUCCAAUGUGGUAGCAGUAAGCACAACUGAAACGGAGUCCCAAAAAAAAAAGACACCGGCGGAAGAUCAAAAUGAGGCGGCGAAUCCGGUC